This 252-nucleotide ribosomal RNA is filed under the name uncultured bacterium. Its description in RNAcentral is "partial 16S ribosomal RNA". It matches the Rfam family "Bacterial small subunit ribosomal RNA", at positions 524 to 775 of the family's 1533-position model. The record is from RNAcentral.
UACGUAGGGGGCGAGCGUUGUUCGGAAUUACUGGGCGUAAAGGGCGUGUAGGCGGUGCGGUAAGUCGAGUGUGAAAUCCCCAGGCUCAACCUGGGGCGGUCGCUCGAGACUGCCGUGCUCGAGUGUGGGAGAGGGAAGUGGAAUUCCCGGUGUAGCGGUGAAAUGCGUAGAUAUCAGGAGGAACACCUGCGGCGAAGGCGGCUUCCUAGACCACAACUGACGCUGAGGCGCGAAAGCUAGGGGAGCAAACAG